Molecule: ribosomal RNA, 468 nt
Filed under: uncultured bacterium
Lineage: Bacteria
Description: partial 16S ribosomal RNA
Rfam family: Bacterial small subunit ribosomal RNA
Source: RNAcentral
GACGAACGCUGGCGGCGUGCUUAACACAUGCAAGUCGAACGGAAAGGCCCUGCUUUUGUGGGGUGCUCGAGUGGCGAACGGGUGAGUAACACGUGAGUAACCUGCCCUUGACUUUGGGAUAACUUCAGGAAACUGGGGCUAAUACCGGAUAGGAGCUCCUGCUGCAUGGUGGGGGUUGGAAAGUUUCGGCGGUUGGGGAUGGACUCGCGGCUUAUCAGCUUGUUGGGGGGGUAGUGGAUUACCAAGGCUUUGACGGGUAGCCGGGCUGGGAGGGUGAGCGGCCAAAUUGGGAUGGAGAUGAGACACAGACUACUACGGGAGGGAGGAGUGGGGAAGGUAGUAUAGUGGGAGGGGGGCUGGUGUACCAAAGCCGCGUGCGGGAUGAGGGGAAUGUGGUUGGAUAGUGCUAUCGCCUGUGACGAAGCGUGAGUGACGGUAAUGGGUAAAGAAGCACCGGCUAACUACGUG